CAACCACUGACGAUAAUCGUGUAUGUUG
Flavobacteriaceae bacterium TMED48 is the source of this 28-nucleotide non-coding RNA. NCBI's taxonomy places the organism in Bacteria, Pseudomonadati, Bacteroidota, Flavobacteriia, Flavobacteriales, Flavobacteriaceae. The record is from Rfam.